This 52-nucleotide small nucleolar RNA is filed under the name Pyrobaculum neutrophilum V24Sta. RNAcentral's name for it is "PNEsR14". The record is from RNAcentral. Lineage: Archaea; Thermoproteati; Thermoproteota; Thermoprotei; Thermoproteales; Thermoproteaceae.
AUGAUGAAGGGAUCGAUGGUGUGACCACAUGACGAGGGAAGAGACGAUCUGA